CAAAGGCACUUCUGCCCUGCCCAGACUCUCUCAGUGUCACUGCGGCAGCAGGACAGCGGUCAGAGGGGAGGCAGGUGCCCGACUCCACAGGAGGCUGCGGAACCGCGCCAGCAGCUGAACACCCAUCACACAUCCCGUGCUCUGUUCAGGCUGGGUGCCCAUUUCCAAAGGCACUGAAAAUUUCCAAUGGCAUUUCCCUCUUUCCAUUGACCAUACAGACCAUGGGGGUUCUGAGGUUCUGACUUUUAAAAGAUUACUUCUUAUCUGGAUACAAUUCAGGGUACCACUCGAUUGCUUCCAUUAGGCAGAUUGGAUGCACGUCUCCGUAUGAUGUUCUGCUAAAAUUGCAGUGGGAUCUACAAUGCCCAAGUGUCUCCCGCUGAUUUCAGCACUCGCUGCAGCAUUUAGGACUUGCUUAAGGAUGUCUCACCCCAGUUUUUGGAGCUGAUCUUCUCCAUGAGAACUUGUAGAACAGCUGCUAAGAUGUUUUGCAGUGUGGCAAAGAAGAUUGCCCAACCAUACCCUGCAGGAUGUGACACCCAGCCCAAGCCUGUGGGUGCUCUGUGUAAUAUGGGAAUGACCUAUAAAGAACCAAGUCAGAAAUUACCCUUGUCCUUUACAACCUUGUUUCCUAACUUAUGGAAGAUUGCAGAAAGUGGUUGUAUCAUGCAAUCAAGAGGAAGGGAGGGAAGAAAAGAAAUUUUAUAGGAGCCCACAGGAUUACACAGCUCUGUUGAAUGCUGAAACAAGUAGUUUCAAGUCAAGUAGUUACAAAAGAGUGAAGUAUAUGAAGGAGGCAUAAAAUCAAUGAAAGGGAGAUGAGAUGCCUCUCCUGACCAUCUGCCCAGCUGCAAGCUGGAAAAGCUUGGCAUAAAAAGUAGUGGCAGGCGUCGGAAAAGCUGGCCGACAAACUGGAGGAACUGGAGCUGGAGCUGGGCUAUUGAGGACCCAAUAAUCUCCUGAGUCACAGAAUUCACAAAAUUAAUGUGGACAGUGGUGCUCUGAUAUCCUACUUGGUUUGUGACAUUCAGUUUGACCUCGAUAUCCUAUUUUGGAACAAGACAAUGCCAUUACCUUAGCUGAGAAACAAGAGUCCAGGAAAGAAAAUUCUAGUAGGCUCCAUUUGAGGUACUGCAGAGAGAAGCAUGGAGGGAGGAGGCUAUAUCCAGAAGAACAACUCUCAGUGACGGCUGGUGCUGCCUGCAAUCCUGGCAGAGAUACAGCAAGAUCACACCUCUUUUUAUAGGUGUAAAAAAGGCCAACGACAAGAAACAAUCAAGAUGGAAGAAGAUAUUUUUGUUUACUCUGCAAAGUUGUUUGAGAAGUAGGCAUGUGCUAUUCUGUCCUUUCCACCUUUUUUCCUGGAUUACUUUGUCACUGGGACAGGUUCUAAUCUCCCCUAUAUGGAGAUAAAAACUCCAGUUUUUAUCUGGCAGUGUAAGUAACGUGGCCUUGCCUCUGUGAACUCUGCUUGCACUGAGCUUGCUUUGCUCUUGAGUGUGUCAGCUAUGUGCAUGUCAUCUGGGAAAGCCAGAGGAUUUCUCUGAGACUGACACAAAACUCACAUGGGAGUAAUUCCCUGAAGCAGAGCCACAACCUCAUAAUGGAUCUCUACACAGAGAGGGGAAGAGUGCUGAGAAGAAAUGCUGAUAUCAGGAGUGGUAACUGAAAGAUGCAGCUGCUGACAAGAGAAGGGAAGAGAGUCCCAAGAAGCUUAAAAGAGUGAACCUCAGCUAUCAAAACACCUUGCUGCUGCCCUGCUCUGAGGAUAACCUAACUCAAAUGCCUGAGAUAGGAAUUACCAGUAGGAUGGUGAUAAUUCAAGACUGCGAAAAACCAAAAAGUGAAAAAGCUAAAAGCUGUAUCUCUGUCUAAAACUUAAGCACCACUGAAAUCAAUUGGAAGGUUACUGCUGUCUUUGAUAGGAACAAGAGUUUACCUUCUGGAGACCUAUUUCUAGCAAUAUUUCUAGCAAUUAAGUGUGGUGUGGUCCUCUGAAAGCUUAUGGGGUAUAAAGCAGCGUGUGGGAGAAGGAUGCUGUCAUGAACAGUGGUUCACCCACCACCUUGUAGGAAGCUGUGGCAGAGGGGGGCCUUGGACAUGGUCUGAGGAGCCCCAGCAGCCACAGCCAGCCCUGUUUGCUGGUUGCAGAUGCUGCUUUUCUCUCAUUGACUGAACGAGGCCUGAACGCCACAAACGUCCAAAGGCAGAAGCGUUAAACUGGUAUUAUCCCACAGAGUGAAACAAAAAGAAGCACAAACAGAAUCAUGCAAAUCCAUGGGAUUAUUAACAUAUAUAAGAAAAUAAAAAUAACCCAAAAACCUGAACAUACUCAGUCCCAGCUCCCACUGGAGCAUGCUGCAGUGUGCUCACCUUUACCCGCAGGGAAGGGAUGGGAGAACAAAUACCAAAUGCCAGAUGUUCUAUUGCAUAAUGUAUUACUGGAAAAUGGAAUAAGGAUGAAUAUAUAGAUCAGUGGUGAAUAAUACAAAAUAACUAAAACCAAAAUUCACUCUCAUGCAAGAAGCACUAUAGUUAUCUACAGGAACCAGAGGAAACUCCAUUCUUUAUCAGAGUUUCAGCUAGACUUGACAGAGUACACUCAUCAGGAAUAUGCCUCAGAAACUGAUAAAUCAUAUUGUCUGGAUCACUUUAACAUCUCUAAAAAAAACCAUACUGUAGAAAAUUCUCAUUCAAUACGUUCAAUUCACAUACAAAGGGUUUGUUUUUUUACUUGGUAAGAUGGCAGAAGCCGACUGCCUUAUUUACACCCCUGAAGAUUUUCCUAUGUUAGAUACGAAUUAAGAAAAUAUCUUUUUAAUCUCUUUGAAGAAAAAAGAUUACUUUAAAAGUGACUGCUCCCCUUCUUCCAAAGACUAGAACUCAUUGUAAAACAGGCCUAUGAUUGGUCUCUUGGUGUAAACCUACGUGCAUUUGCCCAGGCCACCAACUCCUACCAGAUGGAAUCUGAACUCUGAGUCAGAGAGUUCCAUGAAAGCAACAGCUAACAGGGACUCUCCUGUGUCUCAGUGGCUGCUUUCUCUGAGCCACAUGUUCAUUCAUGCAGUGAAAUUUUAACUUAACUAUAGCUUGAAGGCAGCAUCUGUUCUGAGACACUUCAGGGUAAAGGGACCAGCAGGUACUGAGAUUGCAUUUUAACAGAUGGUUUCCUGGGUUCCUAUGCCACCUACUUCUAAAGAGCAAGGUCCAUGGCAUGCUUUAACCCUAAGAUAUGAUUUACAUGGAGGCAAACAGCUUGGUGCAGCACAGACUGCCUUUUGGAAGAACAGUUGAAAGUCAUCAGUUGUUUACCUCACCUCCGCUUUUCUCCAUGCCUUGCUCCUUCUGACUGUUUCCUGACUCCAGCAUCAUUAUUUGAGUACACCAUGAAACCACACACUGAGCCUGAGACUAUUUCUAGAGAAAUGCUUGUGAUACCUAUUGAGAAAGGGUAUGGCAACAUCAGGAUUGUGACAGAUGCCUGGAAGAAGGCAUGGAGGAGGAAAAAAAGACAGGUAAAGGUACAGAAAGUAAGUUUCUACAUAUUGUCCUGAUGAAUGCAGUAGAAACACCUUAAAGAGGUGCUGGAAGUGCUGAUAUAGAGAGCAAGUGCAAGCAAGUGGACAAAGACCAGUCAAUUGAAGUAUAUCAAGUAGCUUCAUCCUAAUGCUAGGGAAAGAGAAGGAAAAGGGAAGGGCAGGCUUAGAUAAUGAUAUUACUAAGGGCUUUAUCAUCUGGGCAUCCUUGAACAGAUGCUUAAGUUCAUGGUUUCAUGCUGUAGAACAGCACUGAGGCAUUGAACUUUGGGGUUUGGGAUGGAACAUGGGGUCGCCAUUUCAGGCAUCCAAACCAGAGUGCAGGAGUGCAACAAGAGAUCUGUGUUACUACAGCUUGAUGAAUGACUGCCCAUGAGCUCUACACACUAAUAUUAAACAACUUCAUCUUUCCUAUCUGCAAGACAAAAUGUGUGAACUGACCCUAAGAUGAAGGUGGAUCCCUUCCAAGGCACUGUGAGAGGAGUUUCAGCAGAUGCAUGUUGAUUGUUAUCCAGACAGGCUUAAAACAAACCUGAGGUGAUAUCUGAUAAGAUAUCAGAGAGAUGGCAAAAUCACAAUACCUACAUUGCUUUUAUUCAGAUAGUCAUAUAAAUAACCAUGGUUUUGGCACUGAUAGGCUACAGUUUUUCCCCAUAUAUCAUGGACUUUCCUUAUAAGAUGCACUAAAAAACUGCUCAAAGUUAUUUUUCCUUUCUUGGACCCCGUAGAAAUAUGAAUGUUAUAAAACUGCCCUGGGAAAAAAGAGAGAGGACUGAGUUUCAUACUAAUAGCUACAGGGUUUUUUUUUAAAUCCAAGCCCAGAUCACAAGGCAUCCCUUGUGUAUUAUAAAACACUCCAUGUAAAUAAAUCAUAAGCCUCUUAGGUGGAGGAGCAGUUAGGGACUGCUAGCCUUUCCCUUCAGGGCCUGCGCUCUGAGUAGUUUAGGAACCUCUCUUUUUUUCUGUGCUCCAGGCAGAUGUUUGAGUUCAGCUAAGUCAUUCCAGCAGGUAUUUCCCAACAUUCAUGUACCUUGGGAUACCCUGCAUCCCAAGCAAGCAGUCAUUGGAAUGGCUGGUGUAUGGUGAGAUCACUCACACACUCUGUUAGUACGGGACUAGUAAAAGUGUAGAGGACAAAGUCAAGAAAGCAGCUGAGUGUCACUAGGCCUUUUUUUGACAUGUUAAUUCAGUUUAUGAUGCAGAGGUAAUUAAAAAAAUCGUCAUUGCAUUGUUCCUCAAUUCAGGGAAGCACCAAAACUUCAGGAUGCCCAGCAGUAAUCUUUCUCAUGGCUGAAUCAAACUUUGUGUUUACAUGGCAUUUUCUGGUGUGAAAAAGUCUCUAUCAUUCUUCUGUCUCUUUAAGGAGUUUGAUCUUUACGUAUUCAAACACCUCUGGGUUCCAGUUCAAACUGGGCUGCUGAAUAAAAAAGUAAAUGUAAUAGAGGCCAUGUAAACAUUGCACACACAAGCACACUCACAGAUGAGCGGGAAAUGUACAGGUAAAUAGUGCAUCUGAGGCAUAUAUAUGCUUAAAUAGUGGGUUUGUGUGCCCUGGAUACUGUACUCUUGAAUGAACUUUCCCUCAGUGCAAAAGUGUAGUUUUCCAUCUUGUACUCGUAAUUUUUUCCCCGUAAAAAUAUUUUAAUUAUCUAAGUCCCACAAGCCCAAGAGCUCCAGAUGCAUAUUUUAGCUGUUUGUCAUAAUAACUAUCCAACAUAAAAAAUGACUACCCUUUCAGCCAGAAUGAGUUUGCACAAUGUUUAAUGUUGAAGUAGAACAGUAUUUCUAAUAGUGAAAUAAGUCCUUGUAACAGUGUCAUUUGUGAAACUAUAGAGCCAGCAGUGGAAAAAAAAGAUUUUUCUGGUUUUGCCAUCUGAUAUUCUUAAAAAUGAAAUAGGUCUCUAGAAGGUAAACUCUUGUUCCUAUCAAAGACAGCAGUAACCUUCCAAUUGAUUUCAGUGGUGCUUAAGUUUUAGACAGAGAUACAGCUUUUAGCUUUUUCACUUUUUGGUUUUUCGCAGUCUUGAAUUAUCACCAUCCUACUGGUAAUUCUUUGGGAAGAACUAUGUACCUACCGUACUAACCAAAAUCUUCUGCAAGGCUAAGUAAAUAAAAGUCAUAGAUGUUUUUCCUAAGCCAUCCUAACAGAUGAGUGAAACAAAGCACUGAUUUUUCCAGAGGGCCACACAACACACUGCUCACCAGGCUAUAAAUGUUGCUAGAUCAAGGCAAGGCAUGGAUCUAUCUGUCUGGUUUUAUAUUUCUUCUCCUGGGUGUAUCCAUCCACUUUGUUGGGGCCUGGCCAUGGAUGCAACAGAGAAACCCAAUAGAAUUGCAUGUAUGGAUGAAAAUGGAUGCAUGUUUCAGAGCAAACUGGAUUUGCACUGAUUUCAGGAGGCAAAAUUCACUGUCGUCUCCUGAGGAACAGGAUUUGGAUGUAUCUCUUAGGGACUUUUCUUCCAGACAUACCUAUCUCUAUCUCUUGGUGGAAAGUGCUUGCAGGGGGACAUACCAGAGGGAGGAGACUGCUUCAAGUCAGAUGUGGUCAAUGGAACAUCCACUUCUCAUCUCUACAUAAGACAAUGUCAUCCAUUUGUGGUCAAUGGAACAUCCACUUCUCAUCUCUAUAUAAGACAGUGUCCUCCAUUUCCCAAUUCUUUUUCAAACUGUUUAUUUUUCACUCUUGGUUAAUGAUUUUCCCAUAAGCAAUACUCUUUGUUUCUGGAAUUACUUGGGUGAUGCCCACUUAAUUGCCCUCUGCCCUUUUCACCUUGGAGUGAACUCAGAUAUGGAGAGUGAUUUACCUAAAAGGGAAAGUUCUUGCAGUCUUCAGUUAAAUAUUUACUUAUGCUUUUUUUGGUGUGCCUGGUCCUUGGUAUUCCCAAGUCCUCUGAGACAUCAGUAUCAAUUCCCACUGACUCUGCAGACACUCCCCUCCUCAAGAAGGGUUACUCAAUACUGUUCUGGACACAUUUUCUGCUACUUAACUUGACUGCAAAUAUUUUUGUAUUUGUGUUACUAAGGUCAACAGAGAUCUUGUGGACAAUUUCCUCCUGUUCUUAGAAAAGUAUGUGCAAGUGUGGUCAGGAUGCAGACGUUUCAAACUGGGUUCAGAGUGGACCGCAGGACCAGGCUGAAGAGCCUUGUGGCACUCAAAGAGGUGCUCCCUGCCUCUGUGAAAAUACCUGUGUGCUGUCAGUUUGAAAAGCACUGCUCAGGGUGGCAGCUGGCUGUGGCAAUCCAAACCCUCCCAUUUGGAUGCUCCUGUAAAAGCACCUGAGGUUAGAAGUUUUUUGUGUUUGUCUUGAAGAUGACUGAUCAGAUUUAAGACAAGCUGUUUUGAACAAGCCUUGAACGUGCCCACAGGGAUGGAAGGUAUUUGGGAGGGACAGUGCUAAGCCGUCUUUGUGCACGUUUAAUCUUAGGUUGCUGAUAAUGUUUGAAAAGUGUGGCAAAACCCUCACUGCACAGCAUGUACUUUGACACAGCACCAAGUCCUUGGUGGAAAUGUUGUUUUCUUCCCCUAAUGGUGAUCAGGCUACUAUCUACAUAUCAUGGGAUUUCUCCAAAAGGUACCCUGCGAUGCUUUUCCCAAUGUGCUUAACUUGUCCAUGGAGCUUGUUAUUAAAAAGUCCCACUGUCUGCAGCUGUACUACUAAAUGCAAUAGACCAGUGACUGCUGCCUGGCACGAAGCCAAAGGCAUGUUAUAAUUCAUACCCCCCUGAAUAAACUCUUUUACCCCUAAAAACAGGGUGGCCACACCCAGCCUACCUUUUGGGAAUGGUCCCAAGAAUGUGCUGUUCUCUGCACUGAGAUAGCAGGUAUGUAUUUUCUGCUGGCUGAUGAUAAUCCAUGUCAAGGAACCAAAAAACAACAUAGACAAGCAUGGAGGAGUGUCAGAAGUGGUGUCGUGGCCCUGUUUAAUUUACUGGUCUAGACACAGCCAUUAAUACCAAGAGUUUAGCAGGAUUCUUGGAAGGGCCAAUGCAUUUAUAUGGCCAGUGAGAAUAUUCAGAGGAAUGGGAAAAAUAUUUCAAAAGCAAAAAAACCCCAACUAGGAUCAGAUUUUUGGAACUGGUAAAGUAUUAAUUUCUUCUGUCAGUUUACACAGGGUUUCUGGUAUCCUCCCUAGCAGCAACUGGUGCUGCAGGUUUUUGGGAAGAGGAUGCUGGACAUAACAGCCCUCUGUCUACUCUGCUAUGUCAGUCCUGGUGUUAACUGCCACACAGUGUUACAUUUGUGGUAGAAUCUGUGAGGAAAAUGUGAAAAUACCUCUCUCAGGCCCUCUGAGUUCCUUGGCUCACUCUCUGAUAUGAACAGAGAAAAGCCUGGAGCUGGAAGCUGACAGCUGGCUUCUGCCCAGGGCUCCAUCGAGGUUAGGGGGCCUGAGUGCACCAGCCCUGCUGAGUGAAGCUGUUCUGCCUCACACCUGGGAUGGUACAUUGAAACAAAUGUGGAUUUAGUUUGUAAGGCUGUUUUACUGCCUAAUAUCCUUAUACUUGUGGGAAGGAUAGGUCUAAGCUGUGUCUGUCACGAUUUUUGCAGUGAAUUCUUCAGCUGAUCCCCAGCUUAGGCUUUUUCUCUUGCUUUCUUAUUUAAACCUAUCUAAAUGAAGACAUUUAGUCUCCCCCAUACACACAUACCACAGCUUGCAUCCUUUAUCUGUUCUCUUACCUCCAGCAUUCAAUUUGGGAUCUUGCUCCAAAUAUGCCUGUGGUGUGAUGAGCUGGGGAGAUUUAACUUCCAAUUGAGCUUCCUUUUGUGAAAGUCCAUGAGAGAGAAGCAGCAGCUGUAGAAGAGAGGGCAGAAGCAGCUGUGUAGAAAUGGCACCAUGGGCAGACCCAGUCACUCAUUCUUAGAGCAGCCAACUCACAUGAUUGCCCUGGCUGGAAAUACCAAUAGAUUAUGGGAAGUUUGGAAUAGCCACAAGCAUCAUCUGCACCCUCUUUCCUGAGGGUAGAAUCUGGUACACAAACACAGAUAGCCAUUAUAGGAAAAAAUACAGUGAUACCUGAGCGAAGAACCAGUGUUAGCAACUCAGCUGGAAUCUCAGUAGUGUCUGUAGCAGGAUCCCAAGGGAAUUGCAUGGACAGGUCAGUUUGCAUGGCCAUGGUACAGACACAAUGCUUCUUAGUGUGGGAAUGAAGACAUGGGUUGUGUAGUCCCUCUGGGAGACCCUGAGCCACAAUUCCUCAUGUCACACUGUUCCCUUCAGGUGAGUGGCACUGUCUUUGAUUGGUAAUAGUUGGUCUGCAGAUACUUUAUGUGCAGUGCCCAUUUACAUUGAAGAAAUAUUAUCCUGGAUAAUAUAUCUGUAUGAAAGGCAGGUUUCAGGUAUGAGGUGAAAUGUAAAGCCACAUCUCACGUUGACUACAAAUUCUCACCAGAAACGGGCUUUGGAAAUACAGAAUCAGACCCAGGCAAAAUCUAAGCGCAGUUUGUCCCUAUUCUUUCUUGUGGGCGAUAUUCCAUCCAUUACUGAGGCUUAGCACAAAGCAUAGCCAACGCUUAAACCCUCAGCAGGAUGUUAAGUGAUGUCUAGGCUUUGUGCUGGGUCUCUGCAGUAGCAUGAAUUUUUACCAGUGAGGAGAAGGGUUGCUUUGUUCAUAUUGAAAAGUACACAGCCAGCCUUCUCUGUAGCAUGCCUCCUAAUUUAGUUUUGAUUUAAUCCUUUGCAUUGAGGGGAUGCUGGUUGCCCUAAAAGAAUAAAAGCUGCCACUCUGAGGCAUGUGCCUUUUGCUAUCCAUGUGAUCCAAAUAGUUACAUUCAAAUCAAAUCAAAGCACUUCAAGGGCCAAAUGUAGAGCAGUUUUCCUUACUUGGCAUAUAAAAUUUUACUUCCUUUUUUCAAUAUUUUAAGGCAAAUUAAAAGCAGUAUUCUAAAUGCUGAGGAUAAAGGACAGUAGCCUCAUACAUGCAAGUACUCCCACACUUCUUAUUUCAUGUGAUUUUCCACUAGCAGCUGCUUUUUGAAUGCUGGGACAUCAGAUGUGGCCAUGUCUCCUUUGCAUCAUAGGUUUCUAGUGAAUGACUCAAGGAUUUGGGCUGUGAAAUAAUUAUCAAGUAAAAAGAGGAGCUAAAAAGCCCUGAAAAACAAAAUAUAAAAACAAAGUUUUGGUUCAGUGGCUUGGUAAAUAUUCCAGGAACUACUCUUCUUUCUAUGGUAUUAGCGAGGAAAUCCUCCCUCCUUUUCCCUGUCUCCUUGUAGAGGCUUAUGUAUCUGGUCCUCAUUAAGGGGUGGUUAUAGCAGUGGGAUCAAACGAGCUCACACUAUAGUUGUGAGGAGCUGCAGUCUCCUGGUUCAGGCAGGGGGUUGUGGCUCAGACAUCCUGACUUGCAUUCCUGGGUUUGACUCACAGUCAGGCUAUGGACAAGUCCCAGGUACCCAGAACCCUUUUUAUCUGUGUAUCAGGUACGCACAGCACUCUCCAACUGUGUGCUGAGGCUGGGAGAUGUGUGAGGUUCUCUUGAGUUCCUUUGGAGUAUUUAGCUUAUAUAGACUUACCUUGACAACACAGAUGUCCUGACAAGAAGGAUUGUCACAUGGCUACAGGAUGGAAAGAGUUAGCCCCAUCCCUCCAAUAGCUGUGCUGUCCUACCACAUCUCAGCUAUCUUCAGAAAUUUAUCUCCUACAUCUAAGGGUGGGGGUCCACUAAGAAAUUAAACAAGCCAGGGAAUGCUGCAGGGCACAGGAUUUGAAAUGCUGCUGUACUGUCAGAAGGGCCCUUGACACUGGUGUAGUGGAGGGCCCUAGCCAUGUUCAAACAGUCCCCUGUCAUGACCUGGGAGCCUGCCAUGACCCUACACAGACACCAUAAUGAGGAGAGCAGAAAGAUUUACUGGCCUGACUGGCAGCUGUAUGGUGCAGUCUGGCCUCAGGCCUAGAGCUUGGACACAUUUAACUUCCUAAUACAGACCAAGUCUAGGACCUGGAAAGAUAAAGUCACUUUCAGGGUCUGAGUCAGCCCAGCCAGGACCUGAAUUACUCCUGAAGGUAUCUCUCUGUCUGUCUGCAGCGGAAGACGUAAGUGUUAUCUUCUUCAGUAGCUGUCUCAGCCGUAGGCGUGCAGUCAGGGUAGAGGAAUCUGGGCAAGUAAGGGAAGCCAAGAUGUAUGGGAUUAGACCAGAGGAGUGCAUUUUCACUUGUACUCUGCCAGAUGAUAAAUUAAUUAAUUGAUUGAUAUUGGUUUUAAUCCCCACAUCCUGGGUCUUUAAUCACUAAUAAAAACAUUUAGAGCUUUGAAAGUUAAUCUGGAUGGUUUUGGAAUAUCAGAAUUUGAUAUUUUCAUCCACCCAGCAUCACAGACUGCUUUAUAAAUUGUAAUUCCUUUCCAUAACAUUCUAAGAGGCCUCUGAGUAGCAGUGUCCCUGCUCAAUGAAUGUGUAGACUGAGGUACAGAGAGGUGAAAGCAUGGUUUGUCCUUUCUCUCAUAUACCUAUUCAGAGAUGAAGCUGGAAGUGCAGGCCCUGGGACUUGGUUCCUACUCCUCCAAACCUGCCAGCCAAGGAAGUGUCUUGCUUUGUUUUAAUGAAGCUCUGUUUGCCAUUUCAUUUUACAGACUGUUAGCACAGAAUAAUGGGAAGUGGAUACCCUGAUGGACUACAGGAAGCCUUUAUAAUUUGUCAAACUACAAUUAAUAGCUGGCAAGCUCAAGACCAUCUCUCUGUCAGUAAAUACCAUUUGGGCCAGAGUCACUUAAAGGUUUCUGUCCUUGUGCCUCCAAGUUGGCAAGGUCAGCUGCAGACCAGGCUGGAAUCUGAAUCCCCAAGUGGAGAAGCAAUCCUGAUCCUGCAGAGCCCUCUUAGAAACUAUAUCCCAGCCUCCAAGAUCAUAAGUCUUUUACAUCUGGUCAGAAUAAAGACAGAUAGACAGUAAGCAAAGGGCAAAGUCUGAUUUGUGUUUUUUAAUGGAGUUUUGUCCUCAAGCUCUUCUCCAAGGUGAAUUUUCUUGCCAGACAUUAUCAGCUUCAGUGGUUUGGCUCAGAUUUUUGCUCCAGAUUCUUUUGUCCGGUUGACUUUUGGAUCAACUCUGCACUGGCUCUGUUUUGAAGAUUGCUUUACCCAUAUUAAUGUUUAACUUAAACAAGUAUUAAAUCAUAAGUUUAACAUGGAAAUGUUUUAGUCUCUGGGCAGUUCCUUUCCUUGAUGAUUUCACACUGUACAUAAGUACAGCUUCACUUGGCAGGAUUUCAUCUAUUCGGUGCUGGUCUCAUGACACUCUGUUAUUAUUGUGGCCUUAAUUCAGAGGAAAACAAUAAAAUAAACCCCACUAUGGUGUUGUAGGCAA
Long non-coding RNA from Corvus hawaiiensis (hawaiian crow), 11824 nucleotides. RefSeq lists it as uncharacterized. NCBI's taxonomy places the organism in Eukaryota, Metazoa, Chordata, Aves, Passeriformes, Corvidae. The transcript has 4 exons. The record is from RefSeq and is a predicted model, not a curated record.